CAAUGGCUCUAUGUCAGCUCAGAUUUAUCUCUACCAUCUAUUGAAGCUAUAAAGGUACUAAAAGGAGGAAAAAAGAAGUAAGAUUAAAGAUUUUUUAAAGUAUUCAUUUCAGUCCUAAGCAAAAAGACCUCUUCAAGCAAAAGAAGCUUUCAAUUCAAAUUUACCAACCCCUCAAGAGCUCAUUCAAGUCUUCAACCACCUUGAGAAAAAUCAUAAAAACUUCUUUCUUAUUGUGUAAAGUAUAUUUAAAGUUU
This 254-nucleotide long non-coding RNA is filed under the name Elaeis guineensis (African oil palm). RNAcentral's name for it is "long non-coding RNA (EGUI_LNC029343)". The record is from RNAcentral. Lineage: Eukaryota; Viridiplantae; Streptophyta; Magnoliopsida; Arecales; Arecaceae.